CAUAGCGAUUUCAGGAAGUAGAGGACUGUCCUGUUGAGGUGUGAGAAAUAUCAAAAUGUCUGGAUUUCCAGAGGAUUUCAAAACACAGCUGAAGUUUCAACUGAUGGGGUUGUCAUGUCUUUGAACAUUGAAAAGCGAUGAUAUUCCAUAGAUUUACCCCUUUACUUCAGAGGGAGCUAUCCGAUCAGCCAAGAUCAGUGCAGCAAAAAAAGAUGUCAAGCUGAGACUAAUCCUGCUGCUGAUGACUAGGACCUUGACACCAGCUUUAGUAGUGCAGAGCAUGUAGACCCAUUAGAUGAAAGCCUGGAAUAAGCUCAAGCUCAACAUCUGACAAUGAAACAAGCCAGGACAGCCAAAAGGAGACUGCAGUACAAAAAAAUCUUCUGCAAGAGGUCGAAGCAGUGGGUGGAGAAGAAAGUGUAAGAGACUUGUCCACUUGGCUGUGGAGCGAAGAAAGGACCAGACGGUUGUCUACAAGGAGCCAGAGUCCCAGCCCCCCAAACCUAACAUACCUACCAACAUUGCCACAGCAUCAAAGCUAGCUAAACCAGCUGCCAUUACCCAACACCAGAAGAACAUUCAACCAACACAACAUCCAUAUUCAGUUAGACUGAUGUUGUUGUAUAAAAUAGAAUGCCUAGUAUGCUCACAACUGCAUUGUGGAAUAGAUAUUGCAAGCUGUAGUACAUAUGUUAUUUUAUAUCAUCAUUUUUACAAGUGUACUGACAAGUGACUAAAUGAUUCCAACUGCAUCAGAAACCAAUAAAGUGUUGACUUCAAUUUCUUGACCAUUUCAUUGUGUAACGCCCUGGCCAUAGAGAG
This 822-nucleotide long non-coding RNA is filed under the name Salmo salar (Atlantic salmon). Its description in RNAcentral is "lncRNA (ENSSSAG00000106622.1, ENSSSAG00000118734.1, ENSSSAG00020009011.1, ENSSSAG00075036336.1)". The record is from RNAcentral. Lineage: Eukaryota; Metazoa; Chordata; Actinopteri; Salmoniformes; Salmonidae.